Molecule: ribosomal RNA, 464 nt
Filed under: uncultured bacterium
Lineage: Bacteria
Description: partial 16S ribosomal RNA
Rfam family: Bacterial small subunit ribosomal RNA
Source: RNAcentral
ACGAACGCUGGCGGCACGCUUAACACAUGCCAGUCGAACGAGAGAAGAGAAGCUUGCUUUUCUGAUCUAGUGGCGGACGGGUGAGUAACACGUGAGCAAUCUGCCUUUCAGAGGGGGAUACCGAUUGGAAACGAUCGUUAAUACCGCAUAACAUAAUUGAACCGCAUGAUUUGAUUAUCAAAGAUUUAUCGCUGAAAGAUGAGCUCGCGUCUGAUUAGCUAGUUGGUAAGGUAACGGCUUACCAAGGCGACGAUCAGUAGCCGGACUGAGAGGUUGAUCGGCCACAUUGGGACUGAGACACGGCCCAGACUCCUACGGGAGGCAGCAGUGGGGAAUAUUGCACAAUGGAGGAAACUCUGAUGCAGCGAUGCCGCGUGAGGGAAGAAGGUUUUAGGAUUGUAAACCUCUGUCUUCAGGGACGAAAAAAGACGGUACCUGAGGAGGAAGCUCCGGCUAACUACGUG